RNAcentral lists this transfer RNA (69 nucleotides) under Perkinsus chesapeaki. It matches the Rfam family "tRNA". From Rfam's summary of the family: Transfer RNA (tRNA) molecules are approximately 80 nucleotides in length. Their secondary structure includes four short double-helical elements and three loops (D, anti-codon, and T loops). Lineage: Eukaryota; Perkinsozoa; Perkinsida; Perkinsidae. The record is from Rfam by way of RNAcentral.
GCCCUUGGUCUAGUGGUAGAAUACAACGUUGCCAUCGUUGUGACCCGAGUUCGAUUCUCGGAUGAUGCA